This 504-nucleotide ribosomal RNA is filed under the name uncultured bacterium. Its description in RNAcentral is "bacterial SSU rRNA". It matches the Rfam family "Bacterial small subunit ribosomal RNA", at positions 29 to 518 of the family's 1533-position model. The record is from RNAcentral.
AUGAACGCUGGCGGCGUGCCUAACACAUGCAAGUCGAACGAAGCGUCCCGCCCGAAGAUGAGGAGUGCUUGCACAAUCUGAUUCAAUUGGGAUGACUAGUGGCGGACGGGUGAGUAACGCGUGGGUAACCUGCCUUAUACAGGGGGGAUAACAGUUAGAAAUGACUGCUAAUACCGCAUAAGCGCACAGUAUCGCAUGAUACAGUGUGAAAAGCCGAGACGGUAUAAGAUGGACCCGCGUCUGAUUAGCCAGUUGGCAGGGUAACGGCCUACCAAAGCAACGAUCAGUAGCCGGCCUGAGAGGGUGAACGGCCACAUUGGGACUGAGACACGGCCCAAACUCCUACGGGAGGCAGCAGUGGGGGAUAUUGCACAAUGGGGGAAACCCUGAUGCAGCGACGCCGCGUGAGUGAUGAAGUAUUUCGGUAUGUAAAACUCUAUCAGCAGGGAAGAAAAUGACGGUACCUGACUAAGAAGCUCCGGCUAAAUACGUGCCAGCCGCCGC